Anser brachyrhynchus (Pink-footed goose) is the source of this 188-nucleotide unclassified non-coding RNA. The record is from Ensembl. Lineage: Eukaryota; Metazoa; Chordata; Aves; Anseriformes; Anatidae.
CUGUUAGCACAGAAACUGAAUUUUUCUGUUUAUACAGGCCAGAUACAUAGGGGGAGGGCCCACUGCAUUCAAGCUUCCCCACACAACUCCAUCAAUCUACCUAAACUCUGACUUGAAAGGACCACUAUCAACAGGGGUGAGAAAUGAUGAUUCAAAUUCAUUUCAUUCCACCACAGCCCCUCACUAAA